AGGGCAUGACGGGUGACAGGCAUGUGGUGGGACGGAGGUGCGGGUCGAAGGGAGGAAAGGGGGAGGGGAAGGGUCUGGCUUGGUCGGUGCGAGGGUGGAGGUCAAUUGGGGCUGGUCUAGAACGGGAGAAGAAUGGGUGAAAGGAAAAGAAAUGGAAGGGAAGGGCGAGGGAUUUAGGGGCGUAGUGUGGUUCAAAAGCGAUGGUGGCCAGAGAGAUGGGGAGAUUUGGUUAGUGGCGGCUAGGGUUAAGGGGUUUGGGGAAGAUGACAAAAUAAAGAAAACGAAAAGGGAAUUGGGGUUUUUAAUGGUGACACGGUAGUGUGACGCCCGUGUAACUCUCUGAUUUGAUUUUUAAAUGAAAAAAAUAGCUCCAGGUUUCAUACGGCCAAGGACAUGCCUGUUUGUCCAAGCUGUGUGAGUUACACAGUAGUGUUGCCAGGCUG
This 443-nucleotide long non-coding RNA is filed under the name Gossypium raimondii (Peruvian cotton). RNAcentral's name for it is "long non-coding RNA (GRAI_LNC000509)". Lineage: Eukaryota; Viridiplantae; Streptophyta; Magnoliopsida; Malvales; Malvaceae. The record is from RNAcentral.